AGUGAACGCUGGCGGUAGGCCUAACACAUGCAAGUCGAACGGCAGCACAGUAAGAGCUUGCUCUUACGGGUGGUGAGUGGCGGACGGGUGAGGAAUACAUCGGAAUCUACUUUUUCGUGGGGGAUAACGUAGGGAAACUUACGCUAAUACCGCAUACGACCUACGGGUGAAAGCAGGGGAUCUUCGGACCUUGCGCGAUUGAAUGAGCCGAUGUCGGAUUAGCUAGUUGGCGGGGUAAAGGCCCACCAAGGCGACGAUCCGUAGCUGGUCUGGGAGGAUGAUCAGCCACACUGGAACUGAGACACGGUCCAGACUCCUACGGGAGGCAGCAGUGGGGAAUAUUGGACAAUGGGCGCAAGCCUGAUCCAGCCAUACCGCGUGGGUGAAGAAGGCCUUCGGGUUGUAAAGCCCUUUUGUUGGGAAAGAAAAGCAGCAGGUUAAUACCCCGCUGUUCUGACGGUACCCAAAGAAUAAGCACCGGCUAACUUCGUG
RNAcentral lists this ribosomal RNA (492 nucleotides) under uncultured bacterium. RNAcentral's name for it is "partial 16S ribosomal RNA". It matches the Rfam family "Bacterial small subunit ribosomal RNA", at positions 29 to 507 of the family's 1533-position model. The record is from RNAcentral.